UACGUAGGGGGCGAGCGUUGUCCGGAUUUAUUGGGCGUAAAGAGCUCGUAGGCGGUGUGUCACGUCGUUCGUGAAAACCUGCAGCUUAACUGUGGGCGUGCGGUCGAUACGGGCAUCACUGGAGUUCGGCAGGGGAGACUGGAAUUCCUGGUGUAGCGGUGAAAUGCGCAGAUAUCAGGAGGAACACCGGUGGCGAAGGCGGGUCUCUGGGCCGAUACUGACGCUGGAGGAGCGGAAAGCGUUGGGGAGCAAACAGG
This 257-nucleotide ribosomal RNA is filed under the name uncultured bacterium. RNAcentral's name for it is "partial 16S ribosomal RNA". It matches the Rfam family "Bacterial small subunit ribosomal RNA", at positions 524 to 776 of the family's 1533-position model. The record is from RNAcentral.